Molecule: small RNA, 124 nt
Filed under: Marmota monax (woodchuck)
Lineage: Eukaryota; Metazoa; Chordata; Mammalia; Rodentia; Sciuridae
Source: RNAcentral
GCCAGGCGCGGUGGCGCACACCUGUGAUCCUAGCAGCUCAGGAGGCUGAGGCAGGAGGAUCGUGAGUUCAAAGCCAGCCUCGCCAAAGUGAGGCCCUAAGCAAUUCCGUGAGACCCUGACUCUA